UAGUUCGCAACCUCGCUUCACGCACUUUCUAUUCCUCUUGUUAAUAACUCAGCUGCGUCAAUUAGGGUUUUUCUCUUGAGGGAAAGAAGCAGCUUCAACCCUUUGUUCACCAUGAGAGCUAAGUGGAAGAAGAAGCGUAUGAGGAGGUUGAAGAGGAAGCGCCGAAAGAUGAGACAGAGAUCCAAGUAGUGGCUUGUAUUCCGAAUGAGACUAGCUUCUUCCACCUGAUGUAAGACUGGCCUCUGGUCUUCUAAGGCUGUUAUGCAUAGGGGAAGGGGGUUCUCUCUAGACUUUUAGUUUAGCAGUAUUGAAAUUAAAGGCUUGAAAAAUUCUUGCUACGAUUCUGAGUUAAGAAUUUUUUUUUCUAUUUAUUUUUUUACAUUUGAAUUAUUCUGGAAUUUGCCUA
Molecule: long non-coding RNA, 406 nt
Organism: Arachis duranensis
Lineage: Eukaryota; Viridiplantae; Streptophyta; Magnoliopsida; Fabales; Fabaceae
Exons: 2
Source: RefSeq, a predicted model, not a curated record